This 671-nucleotide ribosomal RNA is filed under the name uncultured fungus. Its description in RNAcentral is "eukaryotic LSU rRNA". It matches the Rfam family "Eukaryotic large subunit ribosomal RNA", at positions 24 to 664 of the family's 3401-position model. Lineage: Eukaryota; Fungi. The record is from RNAcentral.
CCCGCUGAACUUAAGCAUAUCAAUAAGCGGAGGGAAAGAAACUAACAAGGAUUCCCCUAGUAACUGCGAGUGAAGCGGGAAAAGCUCAAAUUUAAAAUCUGGUGGUCUUUUGGCCAUCCGAGUUGUAAUUUAGAGAAGCGUCUUCCGCGCCGGACCGUGCACAAGUCUCCUGGAAUGGAGCGUCAUAGAGGGUGAGAAUCCCGUCUUUGGCAUGGACACCCGGGGCUUCUGUGAUGCGCUCUCGAAGAGUCGAGUUGUUUGGGAAUGCAGCUCAAAAUGGGUGGUGAACUCCAUCUAAAGCUAAAUAUUGGCGAGAGACCGAUAGCGAACAAGUACCGUGAGGGAAAGAUGAAAAGCACUUUGGAAAGAGAGUGAAACAGUACGUGAAAUUGUUGAAAGGGAAACGCUUGAAGUCAGUCGCGUUGACCGAGACUCAGCCUCGCCUCGGCUUGGUGUACUUCUCGGCUGACGGGCCAGCAUCAAUUUUGUCCCUCGGAUAAUGGCAAGGGAAAGGUGGCACCUUCACCGGUGUGUUAUAGUCUCUUGUCGCAUGCGAGGGGUGGGAUUGAGGAACUCAGCACGCGCCUACUCUGGUGUCGGGGCCGAUUGGCCCACGUUACGUGCUUAGGAUGCUGGCGUAAUGGCUUUAAACGACCCGUCUUGAAACACGG